This 246-nucleotide ribosomal RNA is filed under the name uncultured Parachlamydiaceae bacterium. Its description in RNAcentral is "partial 16S ribosomal RNA". It matches the Rfam family "Bacterial small subunit ribosomal RNA", at positions 796 to 1041 of the family's 1533-position model. Lineage: Bacteria; Pseudomonadati; Chlamydiota; Chlamydiia; Parachlamydiales; Parachlamydiaceae. The record is from RNAcentral.
CUUGCUGUAAACUAUGUAUACUUGGUGUAACCGGACUCAACCCUGGUUGUGCCGUAGCUAACGCGAUAAGUAUACCGCCUGGGGAGUACGCUCGCAAGGGUGAAACUCAAAAGAAUUGACGGGGACCCGCACAAGCAGUGGAGCAUGUGGUUUAAUUCGAUGCAACGCGAAGAACCUUACCCAGACUUGACAUGCAGUAGACCGCGCUAGAAAUAGCGCUUCCCUUCGGGGCUGCUGCACAGGUGC